This 220-nucleotide ribosomal RNA is filed under the name Escherichia coli. Its description in RNAcentral is "partial 16S ribosomal RNA". It matches the Rfam family "Bacterial small subunit ribosomal RNA", at positions 1 to 217 of the family's 1533-position model. The record is from RNAcentral. RNAcentral also lists the same sequence under 6 other names. Lineage: Bacteria; Pseudomonadati; Pseudomonadota; Gammaproteobacteria; Enterobacterales; Enterobacteriaceae.
AAAUUGAAGAGUUUGAUCAUGGCUCAGAUUGAACGCUGGCGGCAGGCCUAACACAUGCAAGUCGAACGGUAACAGGAAGCAGCUUGCUGCUUCGCUGACGAGUGGCGGACGGGUGAGUAAUGUCUGGGAAACUGCCUGAUGGAGGGGGAUAACUACUGGAAACGGUAGCUAAUACCGCAUAAUGUCGCAAGACCAAAGAGGGGGACCUUCGGGCCUCUUG